This 562-nucleotide ribosomal RNA is filed under the name uncultured bacterium. RNAcentral's name for it is "partial 16S ribosomal RNA". It matches the Rfam family "Bacterial small subunit ribosomal RNA", at positions 355 to 1376 of the family's 1533-position model. The record is from RNAcentral.
UGGGGAAUCUUAGACAAUGGGGGAAACCCUGAUCUAGCCAUGCCGCGUGAGCGAUGAAGGCCUUAGGGUUGUAAAGCUCUUUCAGCUGGGAAGAUAAUGACGGUACCAGCAGAAGAAGCCCCGGCUAACUCCGUGCCAGCAGCCGCGGUAAUACGGAGGGGGCUAGCGUUGUUCGGAAUUACUGGGCGUAAAGCGCACGUAGGCGGAUUAGUCAGUCAGAGGUGAAAUCCCAGGGCUCAACCCUGGAACUGCCUUUGAUACUGCUAGUCUUGAGGUCGAGAGAGGUAAGUGGAAUUCCGAGUGUAGAGGUGAAAUUCGUAGAUAUUCGGAGGAACACCAGUGGCGAAGGCGGCUCACUGGCUCGAUACUGACGCUGAGGUGCGAAAGCGUGGGGAGCAAAACAGGAUUAGAUACCCUGGUAGUCCACGCCGUAAACGAUGAAUGCCAGUCGUCGGGUUGCAUGCAAUUCGGUGACACACCUAACGGAUUAAGCAUUCCGCCUGGGGAGUACGGUCGCAAGAUUAAAACUCAAAGGAAUUGACGGGGUCAUAGCUGUUUCCUG